CCUACGGGUGGCUGCAGUGAGGAAUAUUGGUCAAUGGGGGAAACCCUGAUGCAGCGACGCCGCGUGGGUGAAGAAGCGCCUCGGCGCGUAAAGCCCUGUCAGCAGGGAAGAAAAUGACGGUACCUGAAGAAGAAGCCCCGGCUAACUACGUGCCAGCAGCCGCGGUAAUACGUAGGGGGCAAGCGUUAUCCGGAUUUACUGGGUGUAAAGGGGGCGCAGACGGCGAGGCAAGCCAGGAGUGAAAGCCCGGGGCCCAACCCCGGGACUGCUCUUGGAACUGCGUGGCUAGAGUGCAGGAGGGGCAGGCGGAAUUCCUGGUGUAGCGGUGAAAUGCGUAGAUAUCAGGAGGAACACCGGUGGCGAAGGCGGCCUGCUGGACUGCAACUGACGUUGAGGCCCGAAAGCGUGGGGAGCAAACAGGAUUAGAUACCCCUGUAGUC
RNAcentral lists this ribosomal RNA (440 nucleotides) under uncultured bacterium. RNAcentral's name for it is "partial 16S ribosomal RNA". It matches the Rfam family "Bacterial small subunit ribosomal RNA", at positions 338 to 795 of the family's 1533-position model. The record is from RNAcentral.